GGACACCACCCCAAAAUUUCCUAGUCCUCUUUGAUACGGGUUCCUCCAAUCUGUAGCUGCCCUCCAUCUACUGCCAGAGCCAAGUCUGCUCCAAUCACAACAGGUUCAAUCCCAGCCUGUCCUCCACCUUCAGAAACGAUGGACAAACCUAUGGACUAUCCUAUGGGAGUGGCAGCCUGAGUGUGUUCCUGGGCUAUGACACUGUGACUGUUCAUAACAUCGUUGUCAAUAACCAGGAGUUUGGCCUGAGUGAGAAUGAGCCCAGCGACCCCUUUUACUAUUCAGACUUUGACGGGAUCCUGGGAAUGGCCUACCCAAACAUGGCAGAGGGGAAUUCCCCUACAGUAAUGCAGGGGAUGCUGCAGCAGAGCCAGCUUACUCAGCCCGUCUUCAGCUUCUACUUCACCUGCCAGCCAACCCGCCAGUAUUGUGGAGAGCUCAUCCUUGGAGGUGUGGACCCCAACUUUAUUCUGGUCAGAUCAUCUGGACCCCUGUCAGCCCGUAACUGUACUGGCAGAUUGCCAUCGAGGAAUUUGCCAUCGGUAACCAGGCCACUGGCUUGUGCUCUGAGGGUUGCCAGGCCAUUGUGGAUACCGAGACCUUCCUGC
RNA transcript from Homo sapiens (human), 608 nucleotides. It is a transcript of the gene named pepsinogen B, pseudogene, with no coding region annotated. The transcript is spliced from 5 exons. NCBI's taxonomy places the organism in Eukaryota, Metazoa, Chordata, Mammalia, Primates, Hominidae. The record is from RefSeq and is marked validated.